This 497-nucleotide ribosomal RNA is filed under the name uncultured bacterium. RNAcentral describes it as "partial 16S ribosomal RNA". It matches the Rfam family "Bacterial small subunit ribosomal RNA", at positions 28 to 507 of the family's 1533-position model. The record is from RNAcentral.
GACGAACGCUGGCGGCGUGCCUAAUACAUGCAAGUUGAGCGCUGAAGGUUGGUACUUGUACCAACUGGAUGAGCAGCGAACGGGUGAGUAACGCGUGGGGAAUCUGCCUUUGAGCGGGGGACAACAUUUGGAAACGAAUGCUAAUACCGCAUAAAAACUUUAAACACAAGUUUUAAGUUUGAAAGAUGCAAUUGCAUCACUCAAAGAUGAUCCCGCGUUGUAUUAGCUAGUUGGUGAGGUAAAGGCUCACCAAGGCGAUGAUACAUAGCCGACCUGAGAGGGUGAUCGGCCACAUUGGGACUGAGACACGGCCCAAACUCCUACGGGAGGCAGCAGUAGGGAAUGUUCGGCAAUGGACGAAAGUCUGACCGAGCAACGCCGCGUGAGUGAAGAAGGGUUUCGGAUCGUAAAACUCUGUUGGUAGAGAAGAACGUUGGUGAGAGUGGAAAGCUCAUCAAGUGACGGUAACUACCCAGAAAGGGACGGCUAACUACGUG